This 642-nucleotide ribosomal RNA is filed under the name ANME-2 cluster archaeon. RNAcentral's name for it is "bacterial SSU rRNA". It matches the Rfam family "Archaeal small subunit ribosomal RNA", at positions 1 to 644 of the family's 1478-position model. The record is from RNAcentral. Lineage: Archaea; Methanobacteriati; Methanobacteriota; Methanomicrobia; Methanosarcinales.
AAUUCUGGUUGAUCCUGCCAGAGGUUACUGCUAUCGGGGUUCGAUUAAGCCAUGCAAGUUAAAUGUUUUUCGUAAACAUAGCGAACUGCUCAGUAACACGUGGAUAACUUAACCUUAGGUCCGGCAUAACCCCGGGAAACUGGGGAUAAUUCCGGAUGUAUCAAGGAUGCUGGAAUGCCCUUUGGUUCAAAGCUUUUGUGCCUAAGGAUAGGUCUGCGGUCUAUCAGGUAGUAGUGGGUGUAACGUACCUACUAGCCGACGACGGAUACGGGUUGUGAGAGCAAGAGCCCGGAGAUGGAUUCUGAGACACGAAUCCAGGCCCUACGGGGUGCAGCAGGCGCGAACACUUUACAAUGCGGGAAACCGCGAUAAGGGAACCCCGAGUGCCAGUACUAAGUGCUGGCUGUCUAGAUGAAUAGAUAUCAUUUAAUAGCAAGGGCCGGGCAAGACCGGUGCCAGCCGCCGCGGUAACACCGGCGGCCCGAGUGGUAACCGAUAUUAUUGGGUCUAAAGGGUCCGUAGCCUGUUUAAUAAGUCCUUUGGGAAAUCUGGCAGCUUAACUGUCAGGCUGCUAAAGGAUACUGUUAAACUUGGGACCGGUAGACGUAGGGGGUACUCCAGGGGUAGGAGUGAAAUCUUGUA